RNAcentral lists this long non-coding RNA (1259 nucleotides) under Helianthus annuus (common sunflower). RNAcentral describes it as "hypothetical non coding rna". Lineage: Eukaryota; Viridiplantae; Streptophyta; Magnoliopsida; Asterales; Asteraceae. The record is from RNAcentral.
UGAUGUUGGUGUCGAUGCAAGCCAAGGGCCAAGAAGGGUUUCUCAUGAUGAUGAAAUGUUGAAGAAUUGAAGCAAAAUCCAGCCUUAAUUCUCUUGCAUGUGUAGAGAUUCUACAUCAAAAAGCUAUAUGAAACAUGUGGAACGUGUCAAGGAGAGCUCAAGCAUAGGAGGAUAACGGGUCAAGAUAAGGCAAGGUGACAAAUACACUUAUUGGAGUACUCAAGGUAAGUGAUUUCUAUAAUCACUUCUUUAGUUGUUUAAGUAAUAUAAUGUUUUAAUUAUUAAGUUCAUAUGAAGUUGAGGUCAAAUCAAUAGAUUAUUUUGAUAAAUGCACGAAUGGGUCGAAUAAUUCAUAGAUGAAUAACAAGCCGAAUACGUAUAAGUUAAGAAAUUCCUUAACUCGGAUGUUGGACUUCAAGAUCACAUGAUAGAAUAUUAAAUUACAAUCAUAUAGGAAGAAACGUGACGCAAAACGGAUGAAAAAUGAGAGAGUUAUGUCCGUUUCGGUAAGGAUUAAUGGCUAGGAAAAGUGCAGAAUUGACACGGCCGGGUGGUGAACUGACACGGCCGGGUGAAGGUUCUGUCAAAAAUAUUAUUUAUGUGAUUUAUGCGCCGUAGGCUUCGGUAUAUUAUCCGUGAACUACGACGGGCCUCCCAAACAUGAUUUCGAGUGUUUCCUUGGCGAUUAUAAGUUGUAAACCCAAGUCUAAGCCUCAUGUAAUUUAUAUAAGAGUGUGAUAGAUGUAUGUAAUGAAGUUGGACACGUAUUAAAUGUAAAUGUAUACAAAAAUACGUACGGAACACGUAGAUAUGAAUACAUGAUUGUAGGUAUGAUUAAAUGUAUAUUAGGUAUGUAGAUGUGUAUGAUUGUAAGUUUGUAUGUGUGCAAGUAUGUGCGAAUGCAUGAUUUGGAUGCAUUUGAGAAUUAGCGUUACUAAUAAUGCCCUUGGGUUUGGAAUAUAAGUUAAUUGGAUGCAUUUAAAUGGUUGACGUCCUUUUUAUGAAGAUGUAGUAAAUGAAUAUGUUGAGAUUACGGGUUUGGCUAACCAAGUUAUUAUUGAGUAUGUUUGAAAGUGCAGGUUAUGAAUGUCGGACUUUCGAAGUGUUGAUAUAAUAAUGAAACGGUUGAAUGUUGAAAGGAUAAUCGGAUUGAAGUAACUUAUGCGGUUAGAAUAUGCUAUGGACGUUUUAGUUUAUACAACAUUUUAUGUUUGGUCGUCAUCAUCUACCAACGGGUUAGUUGUUUGAAAAUAUAUGUC